RNAcentral lists this ribosomal RNA (497 nucleotides) under uncultured bacterium. RNAcentral describes it as "partial 16S ribosomal RNA". It matches the Rfam family "Bacterial small subunit ribosomal RNA", at positions 28 to 507 of the family's 1533-position model. The record is from RNAcentral.
GAUGAACGCUGGCGGCGUGCCUAAUACAUGCAAGUCGAGCGAACAGACGAGGAGCUUGCUCCUCUGACGUUAGCGGCGGACGGGUGAGUCACACGUGGAUAACCUACCUAUAAGACUGGGAUCACUUCGGGAAACCGGAUCUAAUACCGGAUAAUAUAUUGAACCGCAUGGUUCAAUAGUGAAAGACGGUUUUGCUGUCACUUAUAGAUGGAUCCGCGCCGCAUUAGCUAGUUGGUAAGGUAACGGCUUACCAAGGCAACGAUGCGUAGCCGACCUGAGAGGGUGAUCAGCCACACUGGAACUGAGACACGGUCCAGACUCCUACGGGAGGCAGCAGUAGGGAAUCUUCCGCAAUGGGCGAAAGCCUGACGGAGCAACGCCGCGUGAGUGAUGAAGGUCUUCGGAUCGUAAAACUCUGUUAUUAGGGAAGAACAAAUGUGUAAGUAACUAUGCACGUCUUGACGGUACCUAAUCAGAAAGCCACGGCUAACUACGUG